GAGAGAGAGAGAUGAGGGGGGUCCAGUUAGCAUUAAAUAAUAGUAGAAUGAAGUAGAAAAGUGAAGAGGUGUAAGAGAAGGAGUGAGGGAGCGUGGAGCAUGUGGUUUGGUUCUUCUGAGAUAAGGGAAAUCAAUCUAUAUAUCAAUAAAAACGAUUCAUUUUCCAUCCCUCCUCAUCUCACGGAUCUUGCUUUCUCUCUCUUUCCUUCUUCUCUUCUUCUUCUUCUGCUCUCUCUUCUGUUAUAUAUAUAUAUAUAUAACCUCCACACCUUCUUCCUUCCACCCAAAUGGCCUCUUGGAAGAAGACCAUCACAACACCCUUCAAAAAAGCUUGCACCUUUUUCAACCAGCAGCCACCAAGGGAUCAAAAGAAGUCUCAACCAGACCAAGAGAACCGAGUGAUGGAUCUGCACGGGGAAGUCAUGGCAUGUGGCUACGAAGAUGUUCAAGUUAUGUGGUCUAUUCUCGACAAGUCCAAAUCCACAAACUCUUCAACCAAUUAGCUAAUCUUUUUGUAUGCUAAUGUUAAGGUCAUUCUCAUCCCACUCUAGUCUAGCUCUGUCAAGUGUUGUUGUAGGGAAUCCCCAUGAUUGAUGACAAAAUCAUGGCGAGAUUAUUAUGAUGAAAUGUAGAUUAGAUUUUUUUUUUUUCUCUCUUGUUUAGUCAAUAGUCAAUGUUCAAAUUUCGAGACAGAAAAAUAUCUUAUAGAGGACAACUGAACAUGGGACAGGGUGUCCGACUGUCAUGCCCAUCAAUUAUUGAUGAUAAGAAGAAUGAGGAUAACAUAAUAUUUUAUUCUAUUUUAGUAUUUUGUUUUAUGACCAACAAAAGAUUAGUAGUAGUAUAACAAAAUCUUAAGUAUUUAAAGACAUUCCCUAUUUAGCUAAGACUCUCUUUCUUUACAUCUUUAAUUUUUCUUAUUAGAGAGAGUAUCACACCCAUCACCAACAAAACUUCUUCUUUCACCAAUUACUAUCAACUAAGACCUCACCGACAUACACUUUCACACUAAAGUGUUUCAAGAACACACAUGUACUUUUGUUCCUC
Vigna radiata var. radiata (mung bean) is the source of this 1047-nucleotide RNA transcript. RefSeq lists it as uncharacterized. The transcript has 3 exons. Lineage: Eukaryota; Viridiplantae; Streptophyta; Magnoliopsida; Fabales; Fabaceae. The record is from RefSeq and is a predicted model, not a curated record.